Molecule: long non-coding RNA, 17327 nt
Organism: Marmota monax (woodchuck)
Lineage: Eukaryota; Metazoa; Chordata; Mammalia; Rodentia; Sciuridae
Exons: 2
Source: RefSeq, a predicted model, not a curated record
CUCAGACACUGGAUUUAUGCGUUGCUAAGGGACUUUGGGGGAGCCCCUGGUAUUUGGGGGACGCUUUCAGGCCUGAGGGUUUGGCUGUCCCCCGGAGGUGAAGGACACUCCAGGGAGUGGACAAAUACGCCCCUCCCUCCCACAGCGACUCCCUGGUUUUCCUGAGGGGGCAGCCAGCCAUGAUUCCUUUAAUUAUCCAGGAUUCUCCCAAAUCCUGCCUGUCGGCAGCCUGCCCCGCGCGGUGAGCUGUGAAGGGGACUCACUUCGGGAGGAAGGUUCCGAGGCGGUGGGCCCAGAAUCGGGGUUUUGAGGGCGAGAUGUGUUUAUGUUUUAUCCAACUGGCCCACAAAGUCCCGCUUUUGGGGUCAUGCUCUGCAGCGAGCGGUUCAGGCCCCGGCUGCCACUGGAGGGUGGGGGCCGAGAGCGACACCCCCGGGGCUGCGCGCGUGGAGCGGCUGGAGAGCAGGAGGCUCCCCAUUCUCCCAAAAGUAAAAGGCCGGUGGGCGGGGGCGUGCUGAUCUGCAAGUGUCUUCUCGGUUUGCUGAGCCCGCUGUGAUUUCGAGGGCCUCUCCUUCCCCGGGAGGCCAAAGAGAUACCAGAAGGUGGAAAGCACAAGGUCUCCCCCUGAACCCACCCGCACGGUGGCUUGCUGAGAUGUUGUAGUGGACAGGACCCGCGGGGGAUGAGCGACACGUGGGCUGGCUGUAUUCAAGUGUCUGAAACCCCCUCAAUAAAAUCCCAUGAGCUCAUAAAUCGAAAUGACAUUAGAUUUCAAGGGAGCAGGCUGCUUCUGGCUUCCACCUGGAAUCGCAGUUUUCCUUACAAUUCUUUGCUGACUCUUUGUUGAAGGCAUUUUAUAAAGUGUGCAUCACGUGUUCAGGGGGAGUCUCUAAGGCAAGGUUAGUGGGGAGUAGGAAUGCUCCCCCUCCACCCCAGGACCUGAACAUUAUGAAGUUGUAGUGCUUCUCACUGAAUCUGAUCUCCACUUGCAACCUAUAUAGGCAUCCCUGAAGCCUAAAUUAUUUUUAAUGAAGUGCUCACAGCAGGGAAUAGAAAAUGGAGCUGUCCCUGAACAACUUUUGAACAGCAGAGUCCCCGGGUGGAUGAUGUGUCGAUUUGAUAGACGUGGCACAUGGACACACAGGGGAGGUUUGUGCUGUCCUAGCAAAAAGUUCUUCACUUGCAGAGUUCUUUCUCUUUAUUAUGGGACACGAUGAAACAGCACAAUUUUCAGGAGUCCACAAUUCCAGCGUGGCCCGUCCAUGGGAAAUUGUCACAUUGUGAAUUGUGUUUGUGCUUUGCUGAAUCGCCACCCCGAGCUGACUGUCAAAUCCUAUUUGCUUUGCUAAAUAAGGAUAUCUCACCAAAUUAGCCUUUAAUGAUACGUCUACAAAUAGGGUGUUUUACGUGAAUUAACGAGGCCGGAACACUGAACGUUGCGCCAAGAUACUGAGCUAUAAUUGAGGCGAUGAAGCCGAAUGUUAAAAUUACUGAAUUGUUAAGUGUGGAAAAUCAGACGGAAUUUAGUGCUAAAUGUGAAACGAUUUCUGCUUUAAUGGUGAGCGUUCCCAAAGCACAGGCAUUGCCUAAAUCCAGCCCUCUGAAACCGUGCAUGUAAUUAUGAAUAAUACAUUUAGCAAACUUCCCCCACCCCCUGAGUUUUCAAACAGGAAAAGGAGUGUAGAGAAGAGAUCAUAAAUUAAUAUUUUGCAAGGAGGACUCCUCAUUAAUUCAGCAAAGGACCCUCCCUGAUUUUUAUAUUUUUACUGCCACCCUCCCCCAAUAAUAAUUUUAAAAAUAUCCAACAUGCAACUGUUGAAUAUGCUAAGUACAUUUGAACUUUUCUCCUUUUGCCUCUGUGUGUGUGAAAUUUCAUUAAGUAGUUGCUAUUUCCCCACCCCCAAAGAAGUGCUGAGAUAGAGAACAAAAAUAGCAACUUUGAAUUUAGUUCUUAGCAAUACACCAGGCAUACAGGAAAAAUAUUUUGAUAGAAGGGGGGAAAAAGUAUGGUUUGGGGUAAAAUAGAGACUAGGCUCUAAUAAAAAAAAAAAAAGAUACUUCCUUCAAAAUAAAGCAUGCAUUGAUGGCACAAACCAACUCUAACAUUCAGAACAAGAAAUUCUGAGCUGAUCAACUUAGAGCUUCCGAGGUGGGUAGAUCACCCUCCCUUAAUUUGGACUGUGGCUUAAAAUACAGUUAUUUUAGGCCUGGGGAUAAAAAUUAGUUUAGUGAAAAGUUAAGACAAACUCUGUAUUUGGAGUCAUUUGCCAGAAAAUGUGUGUAUGCCCAAACAAAACAUGGUUGAUCAGAGUUCCUUUAUGCUGGAAUUUUCUGUCUUGCCCACCGAACACAGGAAAAUGUAAAAUUCUUUUUGCUUGUUCGAUUUGGAUUGAGGUGAAAAUAAAUUACAAGCAACAACACGGAUACCCAGGGUGUGACGUAAACAACUUCAGGCUUUCCAGGGAGAGAGUGGAGCUUCCGGGGAGUUGACUUUGGGGUCCCUCUCUCACCCACCUGCCAGACCCAGCCCCCCUCCCGGCCUCAGGUUCUCUUUUCAAAGCAGUCCGUGUUCAGAUGCUGCCUUCUCAAUAUCCCCAGUCGUAUGGGAUGCAGAAAAUAUUUACAACGUUUGAAAACAAAGGUUCUGAUUUUAUAUCCUCUUUCUUAUAUAAAACAUCUUGAGUUUUUGGAACCACAAAGUAAACUAUUGCCCUCGGCGAGUGGCCCCGACUGGGUGUACCGCUGCAUGAGGGAACCCUGGAAGAUGCCAAGGUGUCACCGAAGGCCACUUUUAAAAUGCUUUGGGAGAUGGGAGCCAUGGCAUGUUUAGGCUUUUCUGGAGGACUUGGCCUAGGCAGGGAGAAGAGUCAGUGGCCAGUGCGGGCCUGGUUAGCAGCUCAGCGGGCUGUGGAAGUUUCCUCAGAUGCAUGCAGCGAACUGGGCUCGAUGCUAGACUCCUACUUGAGCUCAGUGCUAGGGCCUGUUGGCAUCUGUGCCCAAGACAGCCUGGACCGCUGCCAGCCCAGGCCCAGACAUGGCCUUGUCGCCAUUACUAGAGCCCAAAAGCCCACACACAACCCAGACAGGUGCCUAAAGCUCCCUCCUCCUAGGACCAAGAUGGCCUCUGGUUCAGCCAUGAGGUGGGCUGCUUGGCUCCCCAGGGCAGCCUCCCCAGAGACUGCAGUAACCUGGUGAUCUGGCGGUCAGUGUGCAGAACCCCACUUUGCUCAUUGCGGAUUUCCAAAUGCUCAGAAACAGAUGGGGUCGCCCCACAGGCCGGGAGCAGAUCCACUGUGAGCACACAGGGCUUCCCCUGUGGACUGGGCCUUGGCAGCCUCUGUCUAGGGCUGCGAUCCUUCUCUCUGGGGUGGGCAGCAUGGCGCAGCCUCCUGGAGCACAUCUAAGUGGCCAUGCAGUUGUUUGCCAUCUUUCUUCAGCCCCAGGAGCCUCCCACCCACCCUGGGACCUGGGCCGACUCCUGUCAUCAGACUGGCAGGCAGAUCCAGGCCAGCAGGGCCAGGACUUGAGCCUGGAAAUGCAGAGAAGGCCCUGGAGGGCCCUGGGAGGACCCAGAAGGAGGGCCAGAUGGACAGAGAAGGGGCUCACAUCUGAGCCACCUUGGGGGUCGGCUGAGGGCGAGGCCAGAGUGGGCCUUCUGGGCUAAAAUCUACAGGGAAAAGGUUUACAGCCCGCCGUGCCUUGGCAUUGAACGUGCCCGCUCCGGGAAGCUGGGGCUCAGCCCUGAGUCAGCCAAAGCCCUGGGACUCCCAUUUGGCCCCGGUAACUGGACUCCAGGCCACCAAAAGGCCUCGUGGGUUCCUGACUGUAUCUUAAGAUGGCAUUAAAAGGUCCCCACCCGGCGCUUGUGGGACAUGCCAUAUUUAGUCUCAGGUUCACCCAGGGAAUAUUUUAGGUGCUGCCUGAAAGGGGAGAUCUGGGCUGGGUUGCGGGCCGUCACAUGGCAGGGAUAGGAUCACUCCCUCUCAGGCCUGGCCCAGAUGCCUGGAGUCUCUGCCAGAGCUUCAGGGCCACGCGGCGGGUGCCAGGGAGCCAGCGAGCACCCCGGGAAUGUGCUGGGAUGGCUUUUCACCCCGUUUUCCUUCUGACGGCGAUAAGGCCACAUCCAUUCACAGAACUGACAGAGGCUGUUUGAGCCCCUCUCUUCUCUGAGAUGGCCCAGUGUGAUAUGCCAGCGAACAGUCUCCUCCUCUCCUCCUCUCGGGUGUCAGCUGCUGGGAGGGGUUAACCCUUUCAGGGCCCUCGGGCCGCUGGCUGGCCUCAGGGACACUUCUCUGCAAAGACCUCUGAGAUCAUUUGUCCCCCAAAUCCCUAAAUCCUCAGAACUUAGUGGCCAGCACAAGAGGAGCACCGCGACCUUGGCAGUGACUUUGCCCUCUCGGCGAUAACCAUCAGGCUUCCCUACCUGAGCCGUCUGGCCUUGGAACUAGCUGCUCACCUUCCAGAUAGUUUCACCUGGGUCCCCAAGCUGAGCGCCUUCCCACGGUGCAGAGGGGGCAUCUUGAUGGAUGUGGUUGGUUGUUGGCGUGGAUCAUCAGUGAGGGUUUGGAAUGAGGGUUUGGAAUGAUCGUUUGGCAUCUGGGAGCAACAUUGCAGAUGGCCCAAGUUUAGGGAAUAAUCCGUGUGACCGUUUCCAGAACCUGCUGUGGGGUCCUCAGGAUAUGGAAGGGGGCGCCUCUGUACUGAAGCUGCGUCGUGGAGUCGCGUGUAGCCCACGAUUGCCACCCUGACACGCUUCCUUCCCCCGCAUUCCCCAGAAGGGCCCACUGUAGAAGCUCACUCUAACCUUGUCCGUUUUCUCCUUUUUAGUCUUGGCUCUUGGUGCUCUAAGAACCAGCGUUUCCUGCCGGCUGGUUGGUUACCGCAGGGAAAAUGAGGGACUUUUGGGGGCAGAUGUGUUUCCAUUCCACUAUCAUAAUGCCCCUAAAAAUCCUUAUUGCUCUUGCAGUAUUCCUCGGGGGUCCCUGGGCCUGGAAGAUGUGCCGAUCUGAGUUCCUCCAGCAGCUCAAAGAGACAGAGGUCUUCCCCAGACUCUGCCAUGGCUCCUCGGGCUCCCUGGGAGCUCUGCCCUCACUGGGCUCAGACUGGUACCACGAGACACAAAAAGACGCCAUCCACACACACACUGGUUGCUAAACACACUUUUUUACCCUCCAGGCGCACAGCCUGAGAUGGGGCCUGGGAAAAAAGGUGCUGUGGCUGGAGUCCUCCUCUGCUGGGGGGGGGGAGUGCAGGGGAGAAAUAAAAACAAGCGCUACCUGUUUGACGAGGCUGGUCUUCCAGCUGGGCCUCCAGGAUCUUCACCUUGGCAGGGGGCCCCUGGCAGUCCUGCCCUCCUGCCAGCUCCCUAAGACAGGGCGCUUUCCCACUCGCUGCCUCAGUUUCCCCAUCCGCCAAGUUGGGCGGGGAGGCACACCUCUGCUCUAUCCUCAAAAAGUUUUUGGACGCAGCCAGUGUUAUCAUGAGCUCAAGUGACACACGAGCUCUGAAGGUUUGAAAAUUUUGAAAAUGGGGAAGUUAAUGCAUGAAACCUGGAUAGGAUGGAUACUAACGUUUCCUAACACACGGAGUCGACUCAGACGGGAGGGGGAAACAUCCUAGCAGUGAGCACAGGUUUAUGGAAGCAGCCACACCUGCAUUCCAGCCCAAGCUCUGUGAUUGUCUUACUGUGUCACCCCAGGGAAGUGACUCAACCUCUCUGGGCCUCUAGUUCUUCAUGCAUGAAACCCACAGGUUGGUUCACAAGUUUCUCAAGUCUCUUGAGCAUACCCAAUGAUUUUGAGUGGUAACUGGGUCAAGGUGUUAUUUUUUAUUUUUUAUUUUUUUUUGUAGUUGUAGAUGGUCAGCAUGCCUUUAUUUUAUUUGGUUAUUUUUAUGCGGUGCUAAGGAUGGAACCCCGUGUCUCACACAGGGUGAGCCAGCACCGUGCCAACGAGCUACAGCCUCAGCCCCUAGAGAUGUUAUUCUAAUAGGUACUUCUUCGUACAGCUAAUUUCCAUUUGUGGCAAUCAGCUAGGUUUCCAGUUAGGGUAGGAGCAUAGAACUUUUUCACAUCAAUUUAUGUAAACAAAAAAGAGUGGGUUUCUCAAAAGAAAAAUAAGAAGCAAAUAUAAUACAGGUGGGGCAGGAGUCUAGAUGGGAGUUUGUAGAGUCUCACAUCCACUUUUUAAGGAAUUGUUCUCUCUCCUGGGGAUUCCCUGCACCUUGUAGCUGGUGGGGGAGGGGGAGGGGGAGGGGGAGGCCCGGCAGUGGGGUGGACCCACCCAUCCCUGCUCACCAGCACUAGAGGCCCCUCUUGCCCCACACCCACCCAUAGCUCUGGUUUGUGUCCAUCCUGGGGUCACGUGACCCAGCACCCUCCUUUCUGGCCGGGCACCUCUCUGCACCCGGGUUUCCUCAGGGGGAAGUGAGGAGAGGAGGCCUCUGGCAGGUCCGCGGGGGACCAACCAGUUAAGGAGACCUCACACAGAAGCAGGGAGCCUUGCGGUGGGUGGGGGUGCCACGGCACCCUAGGCCACAGGGAGGCUCGUCCAGCGGGCCAGACAGUGCAGGGCCACCAACCCCCCAGGACCCUGGUUUUGCGGGGAAGCAGCCGGGGGACACUGAGUCCCAGCCAGCAGGGCCAGUGCGGUUUCACUUUCUGCUGCGUCAUGGGGUGGGGGGUGGCAGAGGGGCCCAGCUGGCCAGCUGGGGCCGGUACAGAGGCCCAUGGACAGCUGCUGGCCCAGCUGCUGGCACACACCCCCUACCCCUGCCUUGCAGCCUCAGGGUGGGGGCUGGGCCAUCGCAGCCCCUUAACUGCCUUUCUGCCCACAUGCUGGAGAGCACCCCAGUUGAGAAAAGCCAGGACCAGGCAGGUGGUCCCUUGAGCGGGUGGGGACUCCCCAAACCUGUCUUUAGGCCAGGGCAGGCUUGAAACGCGAGGACUGUGGCUGUCGGUUCUGAGUCGGAUCCUUGGCUGCUGCCUCCUGCACGGGGCAGAUCUGUUAAAGGGCCUGCUGCUGCGUGUGGGCUCUGGGCCAGGUGCUGGAGGUGGGGCAGGGGUGUGACAUAGCCCCUGCCCUCCCAGGGCUCUCCCUGAAACCAGGGGAGGUGGCACGAGAGCAGGCCAAGUAAUGGACAGUCCCACGUCACGGGGAAGAUGUCACUCCGUGUCAGGCGUGUGUGCACCUCGGUAAGGUGUCAGCUCCCGGGACGCAGGGCCGGUCAAGAACGUAGCCCCCGGGAGCCAGCCGUCCCGUGUCUGAAUCUGAGCGUUGCUGCUGACCGGCUGUGUGGCCUCUGGUGAGGGACAUGUCUCUGUGCCUCGGUCUCUCUGUCUAGAAUAAUGAGGCACCCAGAGGGCCGCAGUGAGGAGGAAAUGAACCCACAUCUCUAUAAAGAACUAAGAAGGCACCUGCAGCGACUCUCGUGCUGGGUCUUAGCUGUCCCCUGAUAAUCAAGGUGAACUAUUAUUAUAAAAUGAACUGUGGUCACCACAGAGGCUGGGGACAUCAGGAAGGUUGCCAAGCCUGUUUCCCAAGCUGUCGGUAUGUCACACAGCGGGGUCCGUCCACAGCGUCUGCAGGACAGUUGGAAUCCCCAGGAGAACUGAAGGCCUGUUACAGAUUGUGCUGCCCAUUUUCUCUUGCUCCCAUGAGAAGGCCGCAGAGGGUGGAGCCCGUGUCUCCCUCAUGGCUCUGUCUCUGGGUCCUAGCAUGUAUCAGGUGCUCAGUUAAGAGCUGUGAGCCAAAGCCGGUGAAGGGGAGGCUACUCCCAAACCACCCUCCUUCAUCGACGCCUUCUUGGGAAGCAGGUUGCUGUUGCCGUCUCAGUUCUGGCCACCCCCGCUGGCUCCCAGACAGCCCUGGGAGUGCCGAGGCUCCCGUCUGUUAAGGUCUUCCCUGCCCGGGGCCUGUCCAGCACCUUGCAGUGGGUGACUGUCCCACAGGUGCUGGUGGGAGCUUGAAGGCAACACAAGUACUUAAGGGCACACAGGCCAGAGUCCCAGGGACUCGUUACUGGGGAAGAGGCUGGGUGCCCAGCAGACGAUCCUCAAGUCUUCAUUCUGAGCAGGUUCAAGACCCAGCUGGAGGUCAGGGGUCAGUUUCCUGGACUGUCUGUCAAAUGAGAGGGUUUAAGGUAAGGAUCCUUUUCCCUCUGAAAUUAAAAUUCACCCACACUCUCAAAACUCCAAAGUAUAAAUAUCACCAAGAAGCAAAGAACCAUCUCAAAAAUCUUUUGGAUAGUUAUAAUAAUAACAAACGUUCUCACAGGCGUGAUCCGUCACUUCAGAUGACAACUUAUGAAGUAAGUGUCACUCUUCGUUUCCUAAAUAACGUCAUCACCAUCAACGUGAGUUGUGUGCUUUGCAUGCACCAAGCACUUUACGUGUGUGAAGUCAUUGUAGUUUAACAGGGAUGGGAGGUACUAACACUGGCCUCUGCCUACCGAUAAGAGAAUGGGCUUGAAGAGAUGACCAGACUUGUCCAAGUUCACACCUGGCAUGGACAGCCUGGGGCUCCAGUCCAAAUCUCCCAUCUCAAGUGUCCAUGACAUUUUCUGAAAAUGUCCGUCUCGUAACUGUUGGAGGCUUUGCAGACUGCUGCAGCCGCUCAACUCUGCCACAGUAACUCAAGCAGAGCCACAGACAGUACAGAAAUGAAUGGCAGUGGCCCGGUGUUCCAAUAAAACUUUAUUUAUAAAAACAAGGAGUGGCCCGAAGGUGGCCCAUCUCCGUUCCACACUGACAGCCUGCCUUUCAGUAAGACCAAUGUGACUUGGCCCCUGCAAUGUUCUCUCCUCACCUGUGAGGUGACUCAGAGUCACAUUUCUGAGCAGAUGGCCCCUGUCUCUGGGGAGAUUGAGUUGACUCUAGCUCCCUCGGGGAAGUUCUAAGCUCUUAGAAGUCACACCUAUUAGGACUUACUAGUGACUAACUGCUCUCCUAGAACACCCUGGGGGACUUACUCCAGUUCCCGCAGUAAUUUUUAAAGAGAAAAGUAAGUGUCGUAGUUUAGAAUAAUACCACAGAGGGCACUUUGACUGUGGAAAGCCCUUUGAAUUGAGAAUGAAAAUGUUUUCAGGUACAGAGAGGUCUCCAGGCAGGGGACGUCAAGGGCACGUGCAUGCAGGGAGAAGGAGGGUCCUGGGGCUGGAGGAUGACUGUCAGGAGAGUCAGGGAACAGGGUGUCCCUUGUUGAUAGCUUUAUUGAGAUGUAAUUCCCGUAACAUCCAUUCACGUUUUAGAUAUACAGUUCGAUGGCUUUGGGCAUGCUCGAUCACGCAAGCCCUAUUACAGUGAAUUUUAGAACAUUAUCAUCAUCUCACAAAGAAAUCUGAGCCCUAUAGCAGUCCACCCCCAUCCCCCACAUCCCCCAGCACCCUUGACCCUGGGCAGUCACUAAUCUACUUUCAUUUCUAUAGAUUUGCCUUUUCUGGACAUUUCAUAUAAGUGGAAUCAUAUAAUAUGUGCUCCUUUGGGUCAGGCUCUCUUCUCAUGGCAUGACGGGUCUCAAAAGUUCAGCCAUGUUGUAGCACAUAUCAGAACUUCAUUCUUUUUUGUGGCUGAAUAAUAUUCUGUUGUAUGGACAUACUUGUCUCUCCAUUUGUCGAUUCAUAGACAUAAAGGUUGUUUCCACGUUGGGUGAUUAUAAAUAAUAUAACUCUGGACAUUUGUGUGUUGUGUGGGCACAAUCUUCAUUUCUCUGGGGCAUGGAGCUAGGGAGUGGACUUGCUGGGUCAUAGGGCAACCCUGUGUUUGACAUGUUGAGGAACUUUGGGACCAGGUCUUUUCAACUGUAUUAUGGAAAUUUCCCACCAUAUCUAAAAGUAGAGAAAAUGUUGUCCAAACCAUCAGGUUCCCAUCGUCCGGGGUGGGCGAUGGUCAUCCUUUUGCCUCGAGCGGGUCACUUGUGGAUGGAACAAGAAUCACCCUGAAUGAGGCAGGACCAGGUAUGUAAUUUGGGGGAACCCAGGGUGAAAUGAAUAUGCAGAGUUCUGGUUCAAACAUUAAGAAGUUCAAGGUGGCCGUAGUGGAGCGUUAAGCCAGGCUCGACCCUGUGACUGCAUGGGUUCCACGACCACCAAGCCAGCCCUGCCCCGAGGCCAGCCACAGGUGGAGCAGCCCUGAUUCAGCAGAUGCAGGAAUUUAGGCCCUCGGUGCCUGGGAGACAGAAACACCUCUCACCUCUAAUCCCAGGAAAGCUUCCAAGGACUGCUGGGUCCCCUAUGGCAUGUGGGACAAAAUUUAAGGCCAUUUCAUUUGAAUCUCCAAAAAUAAGAUGACCCCGGGUGACAUGUGGGUUCUAAGCACUUAAAAAAUAUAUAAAUAAAUAACCGUUUGUCCUAAGCCUUCUCCCCUAAGAGCUCACGGUUGUUUUAUUUGGCCACACCAUUUUGUCCUGGAUUCUGAGUGUCCUCUGAGACCCCAGCGGAUGACAGGGCUGCAGUAUGAAAAAUAGAGACCCGCUGAGCAGCAGGCGGUCCACAGGGGACCAGGGAUGCCCAACAGAAUCAGGUGGCCAUGACAGAUGCCGGCAGCCCAUCGUGACAGCUGAUCUGGCCAGCCUGAGACAGAGCCCGUUAUACUCCUCGGAGGACAGCCUCCACCAACCCAGUGAGCCUCACCUCCUGUGCCCACCUGGACCUCAGCCCCAGGAUUCACAAUGUCCUUCACCCAGAGAUUCAGAGCCCCCAAGUAUUGGGAUGACCCCCCAGGGUGCAUCACACCGGAAACCUUGGCGGGAAGGGGUGUACGGCUCACCUGGGAAGGGCGCCAGGAGGGAGGGAGACGGAACUCAAUGAGGCGAGAAGAGGAAGCCUCGCAGCUCCUCCGGUCUCUGCAGGGUCUCAUCCACCUGUUGAGCUCCAGGUGGACCCCGUGAGCCCUUUCGUCAUCUACAAGCCAGACACCGUCCCUGCCCGUCCCCCCACCCCAUUCUCCUGACAGGUGUGUAAUAAAAAGAAGUAUCAUUGAAUUAUACUGGUCCGACUCAGAGUGUAGAAGUGAUUUUUUUAGGCACCACUUUAUGUUUUUUUAAUUAUCCCCAAAUUUAAAAGUUACACCGCCCUAUGGUUAAGGGAAAUAGUACAAAAGAGAAUAACGUAGGAAAUAAAUAAAAAUAUGCAAUUUUUCUCUUAACUCCAACCUCAUUGAGAAGUAGCCACUGUGAGCAGUUUGUACAAUCUCCAUGCGUUUUGUAAGCAUGGUGCCAUUUUUUUUUUGCUCAUAAUGUGAAGAAGAUCCAGCAGGGUGCGGUGGGCUCAUGCCUGUAAUCCCAGCGGCUGGGAAGGCUGAGGCAGGAGGAUCAAAAGUUAGAGGCCAGCCUCAGCAACUUAGCAAGACCUUAAGCAACUCAGGGAGAACUUAUCUCAAAAUAAAACCAUUUUUAAAAGAGCUGGGGGUGUUGCUUAGUGGUUAAGGACCCCUGGGUUUAAUUCCUGGUACCAAAAAAAAAAAAAAAAAAAGAUCAAGGGUAUUUCAAAAUAAUCUGCAGACCACACAGCAUUCAGCCCCACCUCAUCCUUCUAACCGGGUCCAGCAUCCCACCACACUUGACCUGUCCCCUACUGGCUAACAUUUGUGUUCGCUCCAGGAUUUUGCUUUACUCACAUAGGAUAAAUUCCUAGAAGUGCAAUUUCUCACUCUGAGAAUAUGUGCAUUUGAAAUCUACACUAUUGCACAGUGCCUUUUAAAAACACAGUAGCAUUCUCGAGCCCCUGAACAAGUCACGUGGGGGGACCUGUUUCUGACACCCUCUCCUACCCCAGCAAGGAUGCCGUGUGGCGGGAAGCCAAAAAUUCCCAAAGAGGUAAGUUGAACUUUCUACUGCGGGCUGAGGUUGGGGGUGGACGUGGCCUCCGAGGUUGAUCCUGUAGCUUUCCUAGGAGAAGAGCCAUUCAGAGCGUUCGGUAGUUUUGGGUUUUAGAAACAAAGACAGGGUUUGGGGAGGUGAGCCAGAACUGUGCAGCAAGAAGCACUGUGAGAGCCAGUAUUUAUUUCUCCAGCACGGUUAGAAGUUAAAUAUGGUCAAAACAUAUUCUUCUUUUUAAUUUACACAAACAAAUAUGUUCCCAGGCUGACACCUCCGAUGCCAAGUUUCUAGGGGAAACGAAAUUCUGCUGUGAGAUUAUAAACCACUAGAGAGAGAGGGAUGGGAAUGGAAAAGCCAGGGCGCGUUGGCUGUCCACGCCCAGAACCCGGCCGGCCGCUGAGAGGUGUCUCUGUCUCGGUUGCAGAUGGACCUGCCAGAAAUCUCAGCCGAUGAACCGUGCGACGUGUCAAGGCCAGAGGACAGAAGAGACUCCAGUUCUGAUAAAAGGAGACCUGCUUGGCUUGGCAUCCGCUCUCCUGCCAAUCAGGAGGCUGCAACGCUGUUUCCAGAGCCGGCUGAUGAAUCAGGGGAGAGAGAGGCACAAGGACACCGGUUCCAGCCCCGGAGAUUCUGUCCUGUGAUUUAUGUGGACAGGGACAGGCAUCGGAAGGUUUUAUAAUUCCGCAUGAGACUCCAGUGUGCAGCCAGGAAGGAAACCGGCUGGAUGGGAGGAUCCGCACUGAGGAUGUUGGAAGGGGCUGCGUGGUCUCUUGGGGACCAGGAAGUGGGCUUUUCCCAGAGCAGCCUCGUGGGAGAACCGAGGCUCACGCCCACGGGAGACUUAAGGGCUUCCUCACACGCUCCCAGCUUGAUGGGAGACACAGUGGGGGGGCUUUGCUUUUAGACACCAGACUUGAUCACAUGUCAUGGAAGAAAGCAGAGGCACCUGAGAGAUCACAGAGAUGAGGUGAAGACCUGUGGCUUGAACUGAAGCUCUCAUGAGCCUUAUAGACAGGAACACGUGUUUGCUGGCUCCUUCCAUGGAGAAGUGAGACAGAGCGACUCAUUGUGUGUGCAGUGAGCACCCUGUCACCUGGGGUUAUGGUCUCUAAACACCACUGUCCAUUAGAAUUCAGGGCUCCGUGGAGAAGCAGCCAGUUCCCAGAUCUGCGGCAAGAGAUGUUGCAGGUGAACUGGGAACAUCUUGUCAUCGGGAAGCAAGGCAGCUGUCGACGACUACUGGGGUCAAAUCCACGAGGAUACAGGAGACCACACGAAGAGGCUUGGCCGAAAGGGACAGCUUGAACAUCAACAAGUGUAGUCACCGCACAGUGGUGCUGGGGGCUGACGUCAUGGAGAAAGCUAACCAGAGCUCGGGCUCUGAAUGAAUGGAAUCCCAAAUAACGACUAGGAAACAGAGAGAAAUCAAACAGGGGUCUAAGUGAGCUUCCAGCUCUACCAACUUAUAAGAAGCACAGGACAGAGAAGAACGUUUUUAAGAUCCUUCAGGGGGCGCACCAAGCAAAAUCCAGACCCCCAGAAGCUCCACAAAACCCUGUUGCUUCAACAAAUAAAUUACAAGAGAAGACAUAGAAAGGGGAAGAACCUAAAGAUUAAGAGAGACGAAGGACACACACCAGCCAAUGGGGACAGUUUCCAUGAAGACUUUGUUUCUCAAUAUCCUCCAAAUCUAUGAGCUCCAUUUGGAUCCCGAUUGGACCCAACUAUAUAGAAAACAUCGACAAGACAACUACAGAAAUUGGAAUCCUGAUCAGAUAUUUGCUGAUAUUAAAAACAUCACUGUCACGUGGGCACCGUGGCGCAUGCCUGUAAUCCCAGCAGCUCGGAGGCCGAGGCAGGAGGAUCAUGAGUUCAAAGCCAGCCUCAGCAACUUAGCUAAGUCCCUGAGCAACUUAGCCAGACCCUAUCUCAAAAUAAAAUAUAAAAAAGGGCUGGGGAUGUGGCGGCUCAGGGAUUAAGUGCCCCUGGGUUCAAUCCCCAGUACCAAAAAAAGAAAAAAAAAAUCACUGUUGGACUGGGGACACAGGUCAGUAAAAAGUCACUGUUUAUAGGCGUGGAGGAGGUAAGAAGAAAUUUUUCCUUGGGAGUCAUAUACAGAAAUAUUUGCAAAAGAAAUAACCAAUGUCAGGAAUUUGUUUCAAAAUAGUCUGGGAGGAGAGAAGGGGAGGAGGGGAAGGAGGUGUCCACGGCUGAGGGCUGGCGAUUGCCGUAGCUGGGCUCCUGACCACACACUCUGUCCCUCCCUGGGUGUGCAAGAAGCCUUUCAAAAUAAAAAGAAAAAAAAAUAAGGAAAACUAGCCUUUUCCUGCCCUUCUCUCAGAGGGAUCAGGUUGAUCGGCCACCCGGGGCCUGCAUCUCUGGGGCCAGCCUGGGCAGCAAAGCUCAGUAUAUACAACUUUAAGCAGCCCACCCCGUCUCCAUGGCAACCAGCAUCCAGAAGCCUCCCACCCCCAAGAGGGUCAGGCCAGGCUGCCAGGGUCACGCAGGACACAUGCGGCUGCUCCCUUUGGAGAGUCCCCUAGAUGGGUCUUCACAGAGGACGCCCCGACCAGAGCGGCCUCUCAGCACCCUGUCCCCCUAACUCUUGCUGCCUCUGUGCAGCCCCUGAAGGAAGAGAGGACAGUUAGUGGGAAGAAGAGACCCUGAAUCAGAUCCAGGUUCAAAUGCUGACCUUUAACCUCCUCGAGUCUCGGGUUCCUCAUCUGUAAAGUGGGUAUAACGGUCCCUCAACUAACUCAGCAGAUCUUUGCAAAGGGAGAUCCAUGGCAAAGGGAGGGGAGGAGGAUCUAGCUCUACCUGGUGGAAUCCAGCAGAUCCCCCAGAGUGAAGGGUGACCUCAUUACCACAUAAAAGUUAGGAUCAAAUUGAGAGGCAGGGGUAACCCUAUCGAAGGUCAGAUCCCAGAUUUUGAAUCAAACUGGCAGUCACCCCUUAGAGAGCCUAACUCCCGAGCCCACCUUCCAUGAGCCGAAGUCACCACCCUCCAGCUACUAAUCACCUCGCUACGGCAAACACUGGAAGAACUUUGCUUGGUGCUUCCAUUUCCAUGGGGCAGCGACCAUAGUCCCCAUCUCUGGAGGGAGCAGUGGGCUUGGAGAAGAGAGGUCACCCACACAGGCCACUCUGUUGGUACACGGCCCCUGUCUCUUAUGCUCUGGGGUCUGUGUCCUGAUUACGCUUUGAAGUUCAGUAACAGCAGAAAAUCAGUGCUACUAGGAAGCCAAAAGUCUCCCCAGACCCGGCUUCAUUUUGCAAAGGAACAAAGUGGCCCAGAGAGGCCAAGUCAUAUGUCUGAGGCCACACAGUGAAUGAGCAGCUAAGCCCAUGUCCAGGCUCCUUGGGGACAAGUGCAGGGAAGCCCUGAAGAGUGGGGGAAGCCAACUCUUUCUGCCCCAGAGUAGGGUGACCAGCUGUGCCAGUUUGCCUGGGACUGAUGAGCGUGGGACUGGGGACUUUCCAGGCUAAAUCAGGAAGGUCCUGGCCAUCGCCCCACCUGUGGGAUGCAACGGCCUCACUCACACUCCCUUCCACAGAGGGGAGGCAUCUAAAAGCAGGCAUGUCCGGAAACAAGGAUCUGGGAUGCAGCCAGCUAAGGAGAGCCAGGGAGACCUCACAGAGGGUUAGGGGCUCCAUGCUGCUGGUACCCUGCGAGCCGACCACCCACAUCAUGAGAGGCUUCAGCACCUUUCUUAGGUCCCCUCCCAUCUGUCCUGCCCCCAGUAGCCAGAGUGUCCUUUCUACAUUGCAAUCGGAUGACCCUCAGCCUCAGUUUACAAACCUUGGUGGCUCCCCAUUGAGAUUUUUCUAUUGCUUUGGAAGCUUUGCAGGCACAGGAACCCCUGGGUGGGCUUGUCCCUGACCACCUGUCCGAACCUCCCUCUGGAACCAACCUCACCCUUACAAGAUUCCAAGCAGGGUCAGGAUCACCUAAGACGCAUUAACUACACCCUCCCUCCCGACAGUCCCUCUCCCCAGGACUCCCCCCACCCACCCCCACCACUUUUCUUCCAAGAUACCAGUAUAACUGUAAUCACAGGUUGAUUUAUCUAAUCAACUAUUAAUAUCAAGUCUCCCCUUCUGGCCCGACCUCCACCUGAAAUCACAGAAGCCACUAGGACCCCCUGUUCUCAACUUCAGGAAGAUCUUCAUGAUGUCACAGGAUGGAAGAUCAUCCCCCCAAAUGACCAGUGGCAGCCUGGAUCAGGGGUAUUUUUUGUUGUUAAUUAGUGUCCCUCUUCUGCCCACUCCUUAGCUCUGUUCACAUCCCUAACCUGGCACUAGCUUAGGAAAAAAAAUCCAGGCAGAAAAUAGGAGCCCAAGUUCAAGUCAAGAUGGCUCGCCGGUUCCUGCUCUGCUGGUAAUUAACAUUGAAAAACAUUCAUUCCUUGUCUUGGCCACAAAGGUAAUAAUAUAAAUGCACAGCCUGAUUACUUGGCUGCUAAUUCCCAUCUUGAUGUUUUUCUUCCCCUUUCCUUAAAUUAAUUCCAGAGUUCUUCCAGAUUUCUCGUUGCUAAGCUAUAAAGUUCCAGGCUCUGCAGUGUGGCUGCUAAUUGGCCGAGAGUUCCUGGGCAGCUCCAAUCAGAACCAGGCUGUAGGAAGGAGUGUCCACAUCCCUGCUUCCCCUGGGGGGUUUCAGAAUGUUCUGGGUGAUGUCAUGAACCACACAAGUCUUUGUCUAACUCUGCAGAACCUGUUUUCUUGAGCCGGCUGAGGAGAGAUGCCACAGGUCCUGAAAUUCCCCUGGGAAUGGGGAGUCUCCAGGUCUUAACAGGGGUGAUCGGGACCUGUUUGUGGAUGACGGUUGGGACCUCCUACGGGGGCCAGGAGGGAUGCCUCAAUCUCCUCAGGACUGACCUGCCAUGUCCACUUCCCAAGCUGGCCAGUCUGAGGUGAAGGAAAACUUCACACCACUGAACUUGGAAUCGCUGGGGUGAAGGCUACAUUUAAAAAGGACCCUGAAGGUCCUGGGCUCUUGCCAUUGUCCUCCUAAAUAGCUGGGACUACAGGCUCUAAAGGACUUUAAAAUGUAGAUGGAGGACAAUUCAGGUGUGUCACCUCCAGAAUUUCAAUGAGAAACCACCACCAUAAACUGAAUCCCUACUGUGUGCCAGUAGGAGUAUUCUCAGCACUUCCCAUCCUGGAUCCCCAUGGGACAGAUGGGGACCAUGAUGCAGCGCGGCUGCCAUCUUUCAGGAAGAAGGAAGUCACAGGAACCAGACCUGGCCACACUGAUUGGCUCUUGGAUGAGCACAUGACCCAGGUGGGCCAAUGGGAAUUUUCCUUGAGACUUUUCUGCCCCAACUAUAGAAAAAGACCCCAGAUGGUUGUCUGUGCCCAGCUGAUGGCCACUGGGACAUGGAGAAGGUGCCUGUGAAGCCCUCAAAGACAUGGAACCCCUGGGGUAAUGCUUGAGCCCCAGCUGCAGCUGGAGGGAAGCCAGGUAUACUCCCUGGAUUGUGAGUGACAGAAACAGUAAAUUAUUUUUCUGCUUAA